UGGGGAAUAUUGCACAAUGGGGAAACCGUAGCAUGCAGCGACGCCGCGUGAAGGAAGAAGUAUUUCGGUAUGUAAACUUCUAUCAGCAGGGAAGAAAAUGACGGUACCUGAGUAAGAAGCACCGGCUAAAUACGUGCCAGCAGCCGCGGUAAUACGUAUGGUGCAAGCGUUAUCCGGAUUUACUGGGUGUAAAGGGAGCGUAGACGGAUAGGCAAGUCUGGAGUGAAAACCCAGGGCUCAACCCUGGGACUGCUUUGGGAACUGCAGAUCUGGAGUGCCGGAGAGGUAAGCGGAAUUCCUAGUGUAGCGGUGAAAUGCGUAGAUAUUAGGAGGAACACCGAGUGGACGAGGCGCUUACUGGACGGUGACUGACGUUGAGGCUCGAAAGCGUGGGGAGCAAACAGGAUUAGAUACCC
RNAcentral lists this ribosomal RNA (416 nucleotides) under uncultured bacterium. Its description in RNAcentral is "bacterial SSU rRNA". It matches the Rfam family "Bacterial small subunit ribosomal RNA", at positions 355 to 787 of the family's 1533-position model. The record is from RNAcentral.